AGUGAACGCUGGCGGUAGGCCUAACACAUGCAAGUCGAACGGCAGCACAGUAAGAGCUUGCUCUUACGGGUGGCGAGUGGCGGACGGGUGAGGAAUACAUCGGAAUCUACUUUUUCGUGGGGGAUAACGUAGGGAAACUUACGCUAAUACCGCAUACGACCUACGGGUGAAAGCAGGGGAUCUUCGGACCUUGCGCGAUUGAAUGAGCCGAUGUCGGAUUAGCUAGUUGGCGGGGUAAAGGCCCACCAAGGCGACGAUCCGUAGCUGGUCUGAGAGGAUGAGCAGCCACACUGGAACUGAGACACGGGCCAGACUCCUACGGGAGGCAGCAGUGGGGAAUAGUGGAAAAUGGGCGCAAGCCGGAUCCAGCCAUACCGCGUGGGUGAAGAAGGCCUUCGGGUUGUAAAGCCCUUUUGUUGGGAAAGAAAAGCAGCAGGUUAAUACCCCGCUGUUCUGACGGUACCAAAAGAAUAAGCACCGGCUAACUUCG
RNAcentral lists this ribosomal RNA (490 nucleotides) under uncultured bacterium. RNAcentral's name for it is "partial 16S ribosomal RNA". It matches the Rfam family "Bacterial small subunit ribosomal RNA", at positions 29 to 505 of the family's 1533-position model. The record is from RNAcentral.